GGAGAACACAUCCAUCAAAGUGGGGCCGGCUAGGAAAGGCAGCUCUAAGGCCAAGAUGGCCCGAAGGAGCAAAAGGAGCCGGGGCAAGGACGGGCAGGAAAGCCGAAAAAGAAACUCCCUAUUCCGGAAAAUCACAAAGCAGGCCUCCUUGCUACACACCAGCCGCAGCCUUUCUUCCCUUAACCGCUCUUUGUCAUCGGGGGAGAGUGGGCCCUGCUCUCCCACACACAGCCACAGCCUCUCUCCCCGAUCUCCUCCUCAGGGCUACCGGGUAGCCCCAGAUACUGUGCACUCAGGUACAGGGGUUCCCCUGCAGAUCAGAAACCAUCCCUUGGGCAAUUAUGGUGAACGUUAGCCAUCUGCUUCCCAUGCGCCCAACUCUAAAUCCAGGUGUCUUGGGGGGAAUUGGUGGAUAAGGCGGUGAGGGGUUGAGUAAAUGGACUGUAGUCCACCAGUUAGUGUAAUGGGAGCAACAGUCCUGGGCAUUCCAAAGCGAAGUUCUGCCUUGCCAUCCAUCACUUCUAACAACUAACACUGAUGUGUUGUUUUCUGUUUGUCCAUCCACCCAUGCAACUAUCCAAAGUAGGAGGGAAUUCAUCACAGAGCAGCUCUCCCAGCUCCAGUGUGCCCAGCUCUCCUGCUGGCUCCGGACAUACACGGCCCAGCUCCCUUCAUGGAUUGGCACCCAAGCUCCAACGCCAGUACCGCUCGCCAAGGCGCAAGUCAGCAGGC
RNAcentral lists this long non-coding RNA (732 nucleotides) under Rattus norvegicus (Norway rat). RNAcentral describes it as "long non-coding RNA NONRATT023490". Lineage: Eukaryota; Metazoa; Chordata; Mammalia; Rodentia; Muridae. The record is from RNAcentral.